CUUUUCAGUUUUUUUUUUUUUUUAGCUGGAUUUGGUCUGUGCAAUGGUAAGUGUACUGGCCUAUUUUCAGCUAUGUUGUAUGUGCUAGUUCUGAUAAUCAUUUCACUUCCUCACUGACUAGGUCAUUUGUCUGCCAAGAGUGAUGUCUAUAGCUUUGGAGUUGUUUUGUUGGAGAUGUUAUCUGGAAGGAGAGCAAUUGAUAAAAAUCGGCCGUCCGGAGAACACAAUCUAGUGGAAUGGGCUAAACCCUAUCUGGCAAACAAACGAAAGAUUUUCCGAGUCCUGGACAAUCGUCUUGAAGGGCAGUAUUCAAUGGAUGUUGCCUAUAAGGCAGCUACCCUUGCACUGCGUUGCCUAUCCACAGAACCCAGGUUCCGGCCAAACAUGGAUGAGGUUGUGACAUUGUUGGAACAGCUCCUUGAUUCCAAAGAAAUUGGAAGCGCCAACACCCCUUCAAGCAAUGCAUCCAGAAUUCGUAGACGAAGUGCAGAUGAUGCUAGUAGUGGAAGGACUGCAGCUGCUUAUCCUCGGCCCUCUGCUUCCACUCUUUAUAUUUGAAAACAGAACAAACUUGAUUAAACUUAUGUUUAUAUCUCAAUACAAAUCAGGGGCAUUCAAGUUGACUUGUCCAAUGACUGUACAGUUUCAUGGUUCGGCUAAUGUAAUUUAAAUCAAACUUCUGAUGACAAAGUUUCCAGGUCAACCUGUAACUUGAGUUCACACGUUGUUACGUCCUUAGAUCAGGGAUGCAAUUGCUCUUGUAUGAAGAUUACGAGUUAGUCCUUUUUCUUUCCCAGCCUGGCUUCUUCUGUUGGAUAUAUUUAAUAUUAUUUAGUAUAGUUUUUUGUUUUUUUUUUCUCAUAUGGAUCUGUAAUCAUCCUUUAGAUGUACUAUUGUUUCAGAUAAUAGAUCAGUAG
This 917-nucleotide unclassified non-coding RNA is filed under the name Hevea brasiliensis (rubber tree). The record is from RNAcentral. Lineage: Eukaryota; Viridiplantae; Streptophyta; Magnoliopsida; Malpighiales; Euphorbiaceae.